This 361-nucleotide unclassified non-coding RNA is filed under the name uncultured Ktedonobacteria bacterium. Its description in RNAcentral is "contains 16S-23S intergenic spacer region". The record is from RNAcentral. Lineage: Bacteria; Bacillati; Chloroflexota; Ktedonobacteria.
UCCGGUUUGUUUCCGGCAGUCUCCUUAGAUGUGCAACUAAGGACGAGGGUUGCGCUCGUUGCGGGACUUAACCCAACAUCUCACGACACGAGCUGACGACAGCCAUGCAGCAUCUGUCUAUCCGUCCCGAAGGAGGCCCCGCUUUCACGAGGUUGCGAAUAGAUGUCAAGCCCUGGUAAGGUUCUUCGCGUUGCAUCGAAUUAAACCACACGCUCCGCUGCUUGUGCGGGUCCCCGUCAAUUCCUUUGAGUUUUAGUCUUGCGACCGUACUCCCCAGGCGGGCCACUUAAUGCGUUAGCUUCGGCACGGAAGGGGUCAACACCCCCCACACCUAGUGGCCAUCGUUUACUGCUAGGACUAC